Zalophus californianus (California sea lion) is the source of this 102-nucleotide small nuclear RNA. The record is from Ensembl. Lineage: Eukaryota; Metazoa; Chordata; Mammalia; Carnivora; Otariidae.
GUCUGCUUCAACUGCACAUAGGCUGAAAUUGGAAUGACACAGAGAUUUGCAUAGCCCCUAUGCAGGGAUGGCACACAAAUUCAUGAAGUAGUCCAUUUUUUU